GAGUGGUAGUUCAGUUGGUUAGAAUACCGGCCUGUCACGCCGGGGGUCGCGGGUUCGAGUCCCGUCCACUCC
Molecule: transfer RNA, 72 nt
Filed under: Pseudoalteromonas carrageenovora
Lineage: Bacteria; Pseudomonadati; Pseudomonadota; Gammaproteobacteria; Alteromonadales; Pseudoalteromonadaceae
Also listed under: 138 other names
Rfam family: tRNA
About the family: Transfer RNA (tRNA) molecules are approximately 80 nucleotides in length. Their secondary structure includes four short double-helical elements and three loops (D, anti-codon, and T loops).
Source: RNAcentral